AUGGCAAGCAAUGCUACCCCUAUUUCUGGUCUCUUCUUCCUCCCACCAACAAGCCGCCGGCUUCUCAUGCACAGAAGAGAAAAGAACUCGUUGACACCCAUGUGGAUCUCGGCCAGCUUCUCCCUUCUCUCCAGACCCUCCACCCUCCCCCAACCACGGACACCGCCCUCACCUUCUCAUCCACAGGCAUCUUGCCCUCUGCUUCUCGCAAGUGCCUUGAUGGAGCGUAGAUUUGGCAUCUGGCCUCCCUCAAUGGUGGCCACGUCUGCCGCGGUGACAUCCUUGUCCCCUGAGGAGGGGACGCCCCUGGGCCGCCUGGUGUGGGGCUGUUCCGACUCACCGGCGGAGAACGGCGCCGCUCUGUAUGCUACCACUAAUUCCAAGAAGUGUGGCGGUCUCUUCUCCCUAGCGACGCGGCUGGAGGCUCUGGUGCCAACUAAAUGGCUCGCCAUUGAGCCGCGGCGGAGGCGCACUAUUGCUGGUCAACCCGCGUGCGUGCACGAAGUCUACAGAGCAUCCAUGAACUUCUCCUUGUCUGGACUUCCACGGUUGAGAUGUGAUUUGUGGAGGACCACCGGCGAGCGCGGCGGCGCAGAACACAGGCGGUUGCCAUCGCUGUACACGCGUCGGUGCCGUCUCGAAGUUUUGGGCUAUUUGUUCUGCGGCGAUCUCCUCUCUGGCUGGCGUCUCGACGGCUACAGGUUUCCAGAUCGGUGGCACAAGGACCUGCAAGUCUUUUGUGCAGAAGUUCCAGGACACGUGCAUCUCUGA
RNAcentral lists this ribosomal RNA (771 nucleotides) under Triticum aestivum (bread wheat). RNAcentral describes it as "partial small subunit ribosomal RNA". The record is from RNAcentral. Lineage: Eukaryota; Viridiplantae; Streptophyta; Magnoliopsida; Poales; Poaceae.